AUAAGCCUGAAAGCAAGUUAAAAGACAAAAUGUAUGUUGUGUCCUUAAGCAGUGCUUUGACUCAGAUAGUGAUGGAAGAUAAAAAUAACUGAUCCUGCAGACUUAUUUCUGGCAUCUCCUGAAGUGGGAAGACAUUUACUCUCAACCUCAGCAUGGUGCAGGUGAAGAAACAGGGACUUAUCAAGUUCAGUCAGGAACUUGCCCAACGUCACGUGGGGUAGUAGGCAGCGGACUCAGGGUUCAAACCAAGGUAUGUCAGUGGUUACCAGUAGUUGAUUCCACAUUGUAAAAGAAAAAAAUACCAACUAAAAGAUGAUUUGGGAAAUAAUCCAGAAGCUGUCUACAGACAUGUGUUUUUCUCCCUGUUCUCUACCUUUCAAUACUACCAGAAAGAACAAAAAAAUGCAAGACAAAAAGCUGAAAUGUAGCAAAUGAAGGACUCUCAGAGGGCAGAAGGCUCAUACCUCUUUUCUGAUCAUGACAUCAUUCUUGUAGUUGCUGUUGUUGGCAUAUCUUAAUUUCCCUAUGGGGGCAAAAAGCAAAUUUCAUGUAUAAUGAAACAUAUGAAUAAAGCAUCAAUACAUACCAAGACUA
This is a long non-coding RNA of Sapajus apella (tufted capuchin), 594 nucleotides long. RefSeq lists it as uncharacterized. The transcript is spliced from 2 exons. The record is from RefSeq and is a predicted model, not a curated record. Lineage: Eukaryota; Metazoa; Chordata; Mammalia; Primates; Cebidae.